AUAGUACUCCCUCCGUCCUGAAUUACUUGUCGCGGAAAUAAAUAGUAAUUGAUGUAUCUAAUCUAAAAUACGUCUAGAUACAUCCAUUUUCGCGACAAGUAAUUUGGGAUGGAGAGAGCAUUGA
This is a non-coding RNA of Triticum aestivum (bread wheat), 124 nucleotides long. The record is from Rfam. NCBI's taxonomy places the organism in Eukaryota, Viridiplantae, Streptophyta, Magnoliopsida, Poales, Poaceae.